AAGUCCUUAUCUCAACGGUAGAGAGCUGUGUUUACACCACAAAAGUUGAAGGUUCAAUUCCUUUAGGGCUUA
This 72-nucleotide transfer RNA is filed under the name Ptilocaulis walpersi. RNAcentral's name for it is "tRNA-Val". It matches the Rfam family "tRNA". Rfam says of the family: Transfer RNA (tRNA) molecules are approximately 80 nucleotides in length. The record is from RNAcentral. Lineage: Eukaryota; Metazoa; Porifera; Demospongiae; Axinellida; Axinellidae.